UUGAAGUAGGCGGGGAAACGCGAGUGAUGCUGCCCAUACAGACCCCCUUCCCCUCCCUCUGGCGCUCUCUCCAGCCCGUGGCCCGAGUCACUGCUCCAGGAUCCCGCGUUGUUGGGAAGGUGCUCCUAAACACGCGGGUGAUUCUGAGCGCGAUCACUUACACCGCCCCGUAGAACGCGGCUGCAUAAAAAUAUGUGCACUGUCUCUUUAAGAUCCCUUCGUUGGCCCGCUUCGUAUUGAUCAAUCCACCAUUUUCCAGCGCACAGCACUCAGCGGCGGCGGCGGAGAGAGAAAGCCCUACCUGGAGACGCCAGGCAGGACCGGGGGCAGUCAUGGCAGCCAACAUGUACCGGGUCGGAGAUUAUGUUUACUUCGAAAACUCCUCCAGUAACCCACUGCUGAUCAGGCGAAUAGAGGAACUCAACAAGUGUUCACACUUUUAAGCCUUUAGCAUCCUCUAACAUCACACUGCACCCCCCCUGUCUGCCCUCCUCAUCUUCUAUCCAUCACGAGACCCUCUCAAAUCAGCCAGGAAGUGCAGAGGUGUUUAGACGGCGAAUGGGAACGUGGAGGCCAAAGUGGUGUGUUUCUACCGACGCAGAGACAUCUCUACAACGCUCAUCACCCUCGCUGAUAAACAUGCAAGAGAAAUAAAA
Molecule: long non-coding RNA, 656 nt
Organism: Sinocyclocheilus grahami
Lineage: Eukaryota; Metazoa; Chordata; Actinopteri; Cypriniformes; Cyprinidae
Exons: 5
Source: RefSeq, a predicted model, not a curated record